AUCCUGGCUCAGAUUGAACGCUGGCGGCAUGCUUUACACAUGCAAGUCGAACGGCAGCGGGGGCUUCGGCCUGCCGGCGAGUGGCGAACGGGUGAGUAAUGCAUCGGAACGUGCCCAUGUCGUGGGGGAUAACGUAGCGAAAGCUACGCUAAUACCGCAUACGUCCUGAGGGAGAAAGCGGGGGGAUCUUCGGACCUCGCGCGAUUGGAGCGGCCGAUGUCGGAUUAGCUAGUUGGUGGGGUAAAGGCCCACCAAGGCGACGAUCCGUAGCGGGUCUGAGAGGAUGAUCCGCCACACUGGGACUGAGACACGGCCCAGACUCCUACGGGAGGCAGCAGUGGGGAAUUUUGGACAAUGGGCGCAAGCCUGAUCCAGCCAUGCCGCGUGAGUGAAGAAGGCCUUCGGGUUGUAAAGCUCUUUCGGCCGGGAAGAAAUCGUGUUCUCUAACAUAGGACAUGGAUGACGGUACCGGACUAAGAAGCACCGGCUAACUACGUG
RNAcentral lists this ribosomal RNA (498 nucleotides) under uncultured bacterium. Its description in RNAcentral is "bacterial SSU rRNA". It matches the Rfam family "Bacterial small subunit ribosomal RNA", at positions 16 to 507 of the family's 1533-position model. The record is from RNAcentral.